Molecule: ribosomal RNA, 467 nt
Filed under: uncultured bacterium
Lineage: Bacteria
Description: partial 16S ribosomal RNA
Rfam family: Bacterial small subunit ribosomal RNA
Source: RNAcentral
ACGAACGCUGGCGGCGUGCUUAACACAUGCCAGUCGCACGGAAAGGCCCUGCUUUUGUGGGGUGCUCGCGUGGCGAACGGGUGAGUAACACGUGAGUAACCUGCCCUUGACUUUGGGAUAACUUCAGGAAACUGGGGCUAAUACCGGAUAGGAGCUCCUGCUGCAUGGUGGGGGUUGGAAAGUUUCGGCGGUUGGGGAUGGACUCGCGGCUUAUCAGCUUGUUGGUGGGGUAGUGGCUUACCAAGGCUUUGACGGGUAGCCGGCCUGAGAGGGUGACCGGCCACAUUGGGACUGAGAUACGGCCCAGACUCCUACGGGAGGCAGCAGUGGGGAAUAUUGCACAAUGGGCGGAAGCCUGACGCAGCAACGCCGCGUGCGGGAUGACGGCCUUCGGGUUGUAAACCGCUUUCGCCUGUGACGAAGCGUGAGUGACGGUAAUGGGUAAAGAAGCACCGGCUAACUACGUG